UACCAGCUCUCCGAGUGGUAGUGAUGUUUAUUGGGCUUAAAGCGUCCGUAGCCGGCUUAGCAAGUCUCCUGUUAAAUUCAGCGACCUAAUCGUUGAGCCGCGGGAGAUACUACUAGGCUAGGAGGCGGGAGAGGUCAACGGUACUUCCGGGGUAGGGGUGAAAUCCUAUAAUCCCGGGAGGACCACCAGUGGCGAAGGCUGUUGACUAGAACGCGCUCGACGGUGAGGGACGAAAGCUGGGGGAGCGAACCGGAUUAGAUACCCGGGUAGUCCCAGCUGUAAACGAUGCGAGCUAGGUGUUGGGGUGGCUACGUGCCACUUCAGUGCCGCAGGGAAGCCAUUAAGCUCGCCGCCUGGGGAGUACGGCCGCAAGACUGAAACUUAAAGGAAUUGGCGGGGGAGCACCACAAGGCGUGAAGCUUGCGGUUC
Molecule: ribosomal RNA, 429 nt
Filed under: uncultured archaeon
Lineage: Archaea
Description: bacterial SSU rRNA
Rfam family: Archaeal small subunit ribosomal RNA
Source: RNAcentral